This 332-nucleotide unclassified non-coding RNA is filed under the name soil metagenome. Its description in RNAcentral is "partial contains 5.8S ribosomal RNA, internal transcribed spacer 2, and large subunit ribosomal RNA". The stretch from base 1 to 120 matches the Rfam family "5.8S ribosomal RNA", at positions 35 to 154 of the family's 154-position model. The record is from RNAcentral.
GAUGAAGAACGCAGCGAAAUGCGAUAAGUAACGUGAAUUGCAGAAUUCAGUGAAUCAUCGAAUCUUUGAACGCACAUUGCGCCCGCUAGUAUUCUGGCGGGCAUGCCUGUUCGAGCGUCAUUUCAACCAUCAAGCCCUGUUUAGGCUUGUGUUGGGGCCCUGCGGUUGCCGCAGCCCCCUAAAUGCAGUGGCGGGCUCGUUGUCACUCCGAGCGCAGUAGCGUAUCUCGCUCUGGGCGUGGCGGCGGGUGCUAGCCGUGAAACACCCACUAAGGUUGACCUCGGAUCAGGUAGGAAUACCCGCUGAACUUAAGCAUAUCAAUAAGCGGAGGA